Molecule: ribosomal RNA, 497 nt
Filed under: uncultured bacterium
Lineage: Bacteria
Description: partial 16S ribosomal RNA
Rfam family: Bacterial small subunit ribosomal RNA
Source: RNAcentral
GAUGAACGCUGGCGGCGUGCCUAAUACAUGCAAGUCGAGCGAACAGACGAGGAAGUUACUCCUCUGACUUUCGCGUCGGACGGGUGAGUAAAACGUGGAGAACCUACCUAUAAGACUGGGAUAACUUCGUGAAACCGGUGCUAAUUCCGGCUUAAAUUUUGAACCGCAUGGUUCAACAGUUAAAGACGUUCUUGCUGUCACUUUUCGAUGGAUCCGCGUCGCAUUAGCUAGUUGGUAAGGUAACGGCUUACCAAGGCAACGAUGCGUAGCCGACCUGAGAGGGUGAUCGGCCACACUGGAACUGAGACACGGUCCAGACUCCUACGGGAGGCAGCAGUAGGGAAUAUUGCGCAAUGGGCGAAAGCCUGACGGAGCAACGCCGCGUGAGUGAAGAAGGUCUUCGGAUCGUAAAACUCUGUUAGUAGGGAAGAACAAAUGAGUAAGUAAAUAUGCACGUAUUGACGGUACCUAAUCAGAAAGCCACGGCUAACUACGUG